AUAAAUCUCUAACCAACCAAGCAGAGGUUUUGAGGACAAUGAGAAGGAAGCUGAGUUGAAGAAACAUCUUCAUGGAUGAUACUGGUGAACUUUGAUUACGGAGGGGAUUGGAUGUUGCUGGGAGAGGUUGGAGGCCACAGUUGUAUGGAAUUCAUGGUAUCCUGGUAAACGUGGUAUCAGUCAAUGAAAUGUGUACCAUAAAGCAGCAGCAUUGGAAGCCAAGUGUUAAAGAUGGCAGAGCAAUCAGAUGUAAGGAGCCUGGGUUCCUGGGUUUCUGAAUCAUUGCGUGGAGGGGAGCCACCUGACAAUCAGGAACACCCAAUUUGGACUUAC
Hippopotamus amphibius kiboko is the source of this 333-nucleotide long non-coding RNA. RefSeq lists it as uncharacterized. NCBI's taxonomy places the organism in Eukaryota, Metazoa, Chordata, Mammalia, Artiodactyla, Hippopotamidae. The transcript has 3 exons. The record is from RefSeq and is a predicted model, not a curated record.